GACGAACGCUGGCGGCGUGCCUAACACAUGCAAGUCGAACGGAGUGUUGCGCUGAAUUGAAGGUAGCUUGCUACUGGAUUUUCUUGUGACACUUAGUGGCGGACGGGUGAGUAACGCGUGAGCAACCUGCCUUACAGAGGGGGACAACAGUUGGAAACGACUGCUAAUACCGCAUGAUGUACCUAGUGGGCAUCCACAAGGUACCAAAGGAACAAUCCGCUGUAAGAUGGGCUCGCGUCCGAUUAGAUAGUUGGUGGGGUAACGGCCUACCAAGUCUACGAUCGGUAGCCGGACUGAGAGGUUGAUCGGCCACAUUGGGACUGAGACACGGCCCAG
Molecule: ribosomal RNA, 336 nt
Filed under: uncultured bacterium
Lineage: Bacteria
Description: bacterial SSU rRNA
Rfam family: Bacterial small subunit ribosomal RNA
Source: RNAcentral